GAGGCUCUAGCUUAAUUAAAGUGUCUGGGUUGCAUUCAGGAGAUGUAUUUUAGAAUUUACGUGCCUUC
RNAcentral lists this transfer RNA (68 nucleotides) under Uroplatus ebenaui. Its description in RNAcentral is "tRNA-Ala". The record is from RNAcentral. Lineage: Eukaryota; Metazoa; Chordata; Lepidosauria; Squamata; Gekkonidae.